GACGGAGGGGGCUAGCGUUGUUCGGAAUUACUGGGCGUAAAGAGCGCGUAGGCGGCUUUGCAAGUUGGAAGUGAAAGCCCGGGGCUUAACCUCGGAAUUGCUUUCAAAACUGUGAGGCUAGAGUGUAGUAGGGGAUGAUGGAAUUCCUAGUGUAGAGGUGAAAGUCUUAGAUAUUAGGAGGAACACCGGUGGCGAAGGCGGUCAUCUGGGCUACAACUGACGCUGAGGUGCGAAAGCGUGGGGAGCAAACAGG
RNAcentral lists this ribosomal RNA (253 nucleotides) under uncultured bacterium. RNAcentral's name for it is "partial 16S ribosomal RNA". It matches the Rfam family "Bacterial small subunit ribosomal RNA", at positions 524 to 776 of the family's 1533-position model. The record is from RNAcentral.